Molecule: ribosomal RNA, 115 nt
Filed under: Planococcus massiliensis
Lineage: Bacteria; Bacillati; Bacillota; Bacilli; Caryophanales; Caryophanaceae
Source: RNAcentral
CAGUGAUGAUGGCAAAGAGGCCACACCCGUUCCCAUCCCGAACACGGAAGUUAAGCUCUUUUGCGCCGAUGGUAGUUGGGGGUCUCCCCCUGUGAGAGUAGGACGUCGCUGGGCC